AAGAAAACAGGAGAAACAAAACAGCUUCUCUAGGGAAUUUUGAAGGCAUUGCUACUUCCAUUCUGCCCCCCUUCGAAAUGGUCCCUAUCCAGGAUCUGGACUCUAUUUGCUAAAACAAGGGUGGCUUAAUGGAGACAAUGGCUUAUUAUUUCUUAAGUGACACAGGAGGGCCCAAGUAUUACAGGCUUAGUUCUUUCAGUCUUUGCCAAGGACACAAGGAACAAAAGAACAAGCAAUUGUGUGUGGAAAGGAGAACUGGGACAGGCCCACUUUGAGACCACUCAGGGAAGCAGAAGAAGUCUCUGUGACUUAGGAAUCAUCCCCACCUGAGGCUGACAGAGGCUGCUACUCCCAGUGAUUCUAGCAGGGUCAUAAAUGACAGCGGGUGCCUUGGCACCUUGGCAUCUUUAUCCCCACCUGAUAAUGGAGUAAACAGAGACCAAGAGAGCUUCGGUGUCUCGCCCAAGAGCACGAGACUGACUCCCAGCAGCGUGAAGUUCAGGAGUGAACCAUGGAGAACACUUGCAGGAUGGAGUCAGGCCUCGGCAGCCCCUGAGACAGCCAGCACCCAGACCAGCCUGCUCCCGCCUGCCUCCAACACCCAGUGUGUCACAGGAGCAGCCUUAAGGACAGUACCUCUGCCAGCCUGUCCCUCUGCAAAGAGAGUGAGGCUACAGCAUGAGGAGGGUGGGCGGAGGACACCCUACGACUCUCAGGGGACUACCAGUGGAGAACUGGAUGGCAUGCCACAGCAGACUGAACGUGGGAAGAAGAUCCAGGCGAGGACUCAGGAGAAGAAUCCAAGCCCUGGACUGAAGAUACAGGUCCCUGAAUGACUGUGUGGAGUAGAGAACCUGGCACAGAUGCAUGGAAUUGAGGAGUAGCAAAUAAUCAUAUUCAUGUCAAGCUGCUAGGCUUUGGGAAGUUGUUUUCUCAAGCAGUUUUCAUAACCUGCUAUGCCUGAAAAAGAAAUGAUAAGUAAUAAUAUCUCAACUAAUAUAUGAGAGAAGAGCUCAGAAAGAACUAUGUCUAAAUAUUAAUAUGGGUUUAUUGUGUUUGUGAUAGUUUUCCCUGCUUACAUUUUCCUGCAUUAUCUAAUUUUGAUUAUCUAAUUUCUUAAAAAUCAAGAUGAUAUAUCACUUUUAAUAACAAAAUGUACUUUACUUUCUCUAACAUGAUUCUUUAUAUUUGUUUUUAAAUUCACCUGCCAGUUUAUUUUGUUUCUUUCCAAUUUGUUAAUUCUGCUUGCACUUGCCUUUGGUGAGUGUUGGUCCUUCUUCACUGAAGUAUAAUGCCUCCUUUGGUUUUUAAACUAUGUGGUGUGUUGCAUAGUCUGUCCAUGUAGGCUUCCUUGGUCAUAUUUUUUUAAUUGCUCCAAUUCUGUGCUAUUCUAGUUUUAUUUCCUUUAUAAAAAUUGUUUAAAUCUAAUAGAGAUAGAUAGUUCUUUUUUACUAGUGCUUUUGAAAAUGCCAUCUGCUUUUCUUGUUUGUUUAUUCUUCUUGAUAAAUUGUUGGGAUCAUUCUGCUUAAAAAUAUGGGACUAUUAUUUUGCUAUUGUUUAAGCUAACAAAUACAUUGCAUCUCAUUCUCUGUCAUUAGUCAGUACCUAGAAAUCACCUUUUAUGUCCCCCUCCCCUUGGUCACUAGUAUUCUAGUAUUCCCCAUUUGUAUCUCCUCUGCCACCAUCUUUCCAUUCCAGCUCCUUAUCAAUUAAUACGUGGCCUAUUGAAACACGCAUGCCAGUGACAACCCAAAUGUUCUGUCAGUACUCCGUUUCACUUGUAUACUCAGGGUUCUUUAAUACAGCAAUUGAUUCACAAUGUUUAGUGCCUAGAACACGAUGUUUAAUAAACACUGAUUUUAUUCUUUAUCAUUUCCCACCCCCUCCACUAUCUAAGUAGAAAAAUGUGCACUCUCAAGCUUCUGAUUCUUCCCUAACACUAUUUAGCUGAGACAUUUCCUAUGAAAUGGAGGGGAGUAGCAGUUGCAGCAGACCUAGGUCUUGGCUCCACCACAACUGCUAAUGCUCCUUAGAGCACUGUGAAAAAAUCAGUCUAGCCAGGCAUGGUGGUGCACGCCUAUAAUCCCAGCAGCUUGGGAGGCUGAGG
This is a long non-coding RNA of Ictidomys tridecemlineatus (thirteen-lined ground squirrel), 2107 nucleotides long. RefSeq lists it as uncharacterized. NCBI's taxonomy places the organism in Eukaryota, Metazoa, Chordata, Mammalia, Rodentia, Sciuridae. The record is from RefSeq and is a predicted model, not a curated record.